This 497-nucleotide ribosomal RNA is filed under the name uncultured bacterium. RNAcentral describes it as "partial 16S ribosomal RNA". It matches the Rfam family "Bacterial small subunit ribosomal RNA", at positions 28 to 507 of the family's 1533-position model. The record is from RNAcentral.
GAUGAACGCUGGCGGCGUGCCUAAUACAUGCAAGUCGAGCGAACGGACGAGAAGCUUGCUUCUCUGAUGUUAGCGGCGGACGGGUGAGUAACACGUGGAUAACCUACCUAUAAGACUGGGAUAACUUCGGGAAACCGGAGCUAAUACCGGAUGAUAUUUUGAACCGCAUGGUUCAAAAGUGAAAGACGGUCUUGCUGUCACUUAUAGAUGGAUCCGCGCUGCAUUAGCUAGUUGGUAAGGUAACGGCUUACCAAGGCAACGAUGCAUAGCCGACCUGAGAGGGUGAUCGACCACACUGGAACUGAGACACGGUCCAGACUCCUACGGGAGGCAGCAGUAGGGAAUCUUCCGCAAAGGGCGAAAGCCUGACGGAGCAACGCCGCGUGAGUGAUGAAGGUCUUCGGAUCGUAAAACUCUGUUAUUAGGGAAGAACAUAUGUGUAAGUAACUGUGCACAUCUUGACGGUACCUAAUCAGAAAGCCACGGCUAACUACGUG